UACAAUUAACAGGAGCUCUCUUCAGUUCAUCUCAAGACAGGUAGAAGGUCGAAACAUUGCUGCUCAUUCGUUAGUUCAAUAGCUCAUUAUCCUCCAAAUCUCUAUAAUUUUGAUAUCAAAGUUGUGUGAUGUGCUCCUGAUCUAACGAUGUAGGAGCAAUCUUUGAUCAUCGAUGUCGUGUAUUGGACUGAAGGGAGCUCCUUCACUUUUACUU
This is a non-coding RNA of Cucumis sativus (cucumber), 214 nucleotides long. NCBI's taxonomy places the organism in Eukaryota, Viridiplantae, Streptophyta, Magnoliopsida, Cucurbitales, Cucurbitaceae. The record is from Rfam.